This 427-nucleotide unclassified non-coding RNA is filed under the name Hevea brasiliensis (rubber tree). The record is from RNAcentral. Lineage: Eukaryota; Viridiplantae; Streptophyta; Magnoliopsida; Malpighiales; Euphorbiaceae.
GCCUUUGAUUGAGUUUGCUUACAAUAACAGCUACCAAUCAAGCAUUGAAAUGCUUCCAUAUGAAGCUUUGUAUGGCAGAAAAUGCAGAACUCUCCUAUAUUGGAAUGAAGUAGGUGAAAGAAAGUUGAUUAGGCCCGAAAUUGUUCAGCAGACCAAGAAGAAGAUCAGGGUGAUCAGAGAUCGACUUAAGACUGCAUCAGACCGUCAGAAGUCCUACAUUGAUUUGAAAAGAAGGGAUAUUGAGUAUGCAGUGGGUGAGAAAGUAUUCCUCAAGGUUUCCCCUUGGAAGAGGAUUAUGAGAUUCGGCAGAAAGGGAAAACUGAGUCCUCGUUUCAUUGGGUCAUAUGAGGUUCUGGAAAGAGUGGAUCCUUUGGCAUAUCGGUUGGCACUACCUCCAGAGUUGGAAAAGAUACAUAAUGUCUUCCAU